UNGCAGGACUCUCAGGACUCAGUGUGGAA
This 29-nucleotide non-coding RNA is filed under the name Mus musculus (house mouse). The record is from RNAcentral. Lineage: Eukaryota; Metazoa; Chordata; Mammalia; Rodentia; Muridae.